GUAAUAGCUCACUGGUCGAGUCGGCCCGCGCGGAAGAUGUAACGGGGCUAAACCAUGCACCGAAGCUGCGGCAGCGACACAAAGUGUUGUUGGGUAGGGGAGCGUUCUGUAAGCCUGCGAAGGUGUACUGUGAGGUAUGCUGGAGGUAUCAGAAGUGCGAAUGCUGACAUAAGUAACGAUAAUGCGGGUGAAAAACCCGCACGCCGGAA
This 209-nucleotide ribosomal RNA is filed under the name Proteus mirabilis. RNAcentral's name for it is "partial 23S ribosomal RNA". It matches the Rfam family "Bacterial large subunit ribosomal RNA", at positions 1134 to 1342 of the family's 2925-position model. Lineage: Bacteria; Pseudomonadati; Pseudomonadota; Gammaproteobacteria; Enterobacterales; Morganellaceae. The record is from RNAcentral.